CGGGUAUACAUCCAAAAGAAAGGAAAUCAGUAUGUCACAGAGGUAUCUGCACUUCCGUGUUUAUGGCAGCACUAUUCACAAUAGCCAAGAUAUGGAAUCAAGGCUGGUUAAUUGGUACAAAAAUACAGUUAUAGAGAAGAUAUAAAUUCUAGUGUUUGAUGGCACAGUAGGGUGACUAUCAUUAACAAUUUAUUGCAUAUUUAAAAAUAGCUGAAAGAGAAGAUUUGGAGUAUUCCCAGAACAAAGAAAUAAUUUUUAAGGUGAUGGAUAUCCCCAUUACCCUGAUUUGAUCAGUAUACGUUGAUGCAUGUAUUAAAAUAUCACAUGUACCCCAUAAACAUGUACCAUUAUUAUGUAUCAAUAAAAAGUCAAUUUAAAACUUUUUUUUAACUAACAUUUGAAAAUUUGCCAAUCUUUUUUUUUUCUUACUGAUGUCUGAGAUUUGGUUCUUGUUCAGGAAGGUUUUUUUUUCACCUCAAGAACUACAGAUAUACUUUCUAAAGUUUUCUUUUAAUACUUUUUAAUAGUUUUCCUUCUGUUGAUACUGCUAGUUUCUUUUUGUUCUAAUAUGAGGUAGGGUUGCCUAGUCCUUUCUCCACUGACUUGACAUAUCAUUUUAACAGAUACUAAAUUCUCAGAUAUCUGUGACUUUCUGGACUAUUUGUUUUCAUUGAUUCAUUUGCCUUUUUCUGUGCCACCAUCACAUUGUUUUAGUUACUGUAGCUUUAUGAUAUUUUGAUCAACAUUUUUUUUCUUGAUUGAGUACUUUGCCAUGAAAUUUAGAAACUAGAGAUUAAAUGUAAUUAUAAAAUGACAGUCUCACUUCUCCAUUGCUGCCUAAUGGCUGAUAAGCAAGAUAGAGCAUAUUUGAAGGCCAAAAAACAACCUGUUGAAUUUUUAAAUGAUAGCUUGUGAACAUGCUUAUUUGUCUUGAUUUUAUUAAUCACCAAAUUAGUAAAUUGUGUCUGUAACAGAGUAAUUUCCCAAAGCUAAUUGUUAUUACGUGUUAUUUCUUAAACAUUCUUUUAAUGUAACAGGACUCUUAUAGCAAAUAAUAAAGCAAUUAAAUUAUCAGGUGAA
This 1080-nucleotide long non-coding RNA is filed under the name Homo sapiens (human). RNAcentral describes it as "HSALNT0036325". The record is from RNAcentral. Lineage: Eukaryota; Metazoa; Chordata; Mammalia; Primates; Hominidae.